RNAcentral lists this ribosomal RNA (443 nucleotides) under uncultured bacterium. RNAcentral's name for it is "partial 16S ribosomal RNA". It matches the Rfam family "Bacterial small subunit ribosomal RNA", at positions 338 to 795 of the family's 1533-position model. The record is from RNAcentral.
CCUACGGGUGGCAGCAGUGGGGAAUAUUGGGCAAUGGGCGCAAGCCUGACCCAGCAACGCCGCGUGAAGGAAGAAGGCUUUCGGGUUGUAAACUUCUUUUCUCAGGGACGAAGAAAGUGACGGUACCUGAGGAAUAAGCCACGGCUAACUACGUGCCAGCAGCCGCGGUAAUACGUAGGUGGCAAGCGUUAUCCGGAUUUACUGGGUGUAAAGGGCGUGUAGGCGGGAAAGCAAGUCAGAUGUGAAAACCAUGGGCUCAACCUGUGGCCUGCAUUUGAAACUGUUUUUCUUGAGUACUGGAGAGGCAGACGGAAUUCCUAGUGUAGCGGUGAAAGGCGUAGAGAUUAGGAGGAACACCAGUGGCGAGGGCGGUCUGCUGGACAGCAACUGACGCUGAGGCGCGAAAGCGUGGGGAGCAAACAGGAUUAGAUACCCUUGUAGUC